This is a long non-coding RNA of Triplophysa dalaica, 1056 nucleotides long. RefSeq lists it as uncharacterized. The record is from RefSeq and is a predicted model, not a curated record. Lineage: Eukaryota; Metazoa; Chordata; Actinopteri; Cypriniformes; Nemacheilidae. The transcript is spliced from 3 exons.
GUACAGAUCCAGACUGAGUCCGGUUUCAGUGGGGGAACGACGGUCGUUCAGCAGAUGCGGGCCGUAUCUGUGUAACCGAAUGCGCGAAGUUUUCUGAAGUGAAGUGGAGGCGGCCCGCAGCGCGUUGAGUAAUACAACACCUGAGAGACAGCGCUUGAGGUAAUGACCAAUCAGAGUCCAGACAGACCUUCGAUGUUCCACAAGAGAGCCGGCAAAGGGUGAGUUUCUUUGUAGUAGUUGUUUUAUUUUUCUCUUUUUGUUAGGGCUAAUUGUGGCUUGUAGGUUUCUGGAGAAAUGCAAAUUCAAACAUUUUCACACUUUUGAGUAGUAUGCUUCUUAUGUGUGUACCCUAAACACUUAAAAAAAUACAUACAUAAUAUAUGGCAAUAUAUACAAACAUAUAGCAUUUUGGUAGUUUUAAAAACAUUUUAUUUUAGUUGCAUAUUUUUUUCUAAAUAUGGGGUGUGGUUUUUAAAAAGAUUUUAAAAGGUUGUAGUGCAACAUUACCUAAUUGUAACCAAAAUGCAACGUUGUCAAAAGUUGUAAAACUGUUUUUUGUUCGCUGGGGGGGAAUGAGUUAAAAACCACAUUGAGUUUAUUGUUUCCAUAAGUGUGCUGUGCGCGCGAGCUCUUUCUUUUUCUUUGGUUUUAAUGGGAUCCUGAAUUCAUAGAGCUGCACUACUGCCAUCUUCUGGUGGAAAUGAACUCCUCCGGAUUCUUCUUCCUCGUUUUUUGGCGCAUUACAGUCUUUGUGUAUAACGCCCCCUACUGUUCGUGGCUGUUGUGCAGUCGUGGGCUGUUUCCAGAAAGGUUAACUUACCGUCAGCUAAACCCUGAACUCUCGGUUGAUGAACACAAACCUCGCUUACAAAACACCGGAGAAGAGUUAGUUUACUCAAACUCCAGAGUUAACGCGCCCACAAUAACAACAUGAACACAUUGUCAAUGGAUCAGAGUUCACGAGUCACCAUGGAAACGGCCGGUAAGCUUAAAGUUUUUGAGUGUAAAACAACUUUAUAAAUCAAGCGGUUGUUUUCACAGAAGACUUAAAUCUGC